GGAUCGCAGGCUGCAACCCGCCUGCGUGAAGUUGGAAUCGCUAGUAAUCGCGGAUCAGCAUGCCGCGGUGAAUACGUUCCCGGGCCUUGUACACACCGCCCGUCACACCAUGAGAGUCGGGACACCCGAAGUCCGUAGCCUAACUGCGAAGGGGGGCGCGGCCGAAGGUGGAUUCGAUAAUUGGGGUGAAGUCGUAACAAGGUAAC
RNAcentral lists this ribosomal RNA (206 nucleotides) under uncultured bacterium. Its description in RNAcentral is "partial 16S ribosomal RNA". It matches the Rfam family "Bacterial small subunit ribosomal RNA", at positions 1295 to 1500 of the family's 1533-position model. The record is from RNAcentral.